This 514-nucleotide long non-coding RNA is filed under the name Ananas comosus (pineapple). RNAcentral's name for it is "long non-coding RNA (ACOM_LNC031439)". Lineage: Eukaryota; Viridiplantae; Streptophyta; Magnoliopsida; Poales; Bromeliaceae. The record is from RNAcentral.
UAAGAUUUGGAUAUUGGUUCUUGAGAUAUGGGUGUUGGUUCAUGAUAUUUGGGUAUUGAUUCAUGAUAUCUGGGUAUUGAUUCAUUGAGGUUUGGUGUAUAGGAUGUAUAAGAUUUGGUUCAUGGGAUGUGGUGUAUGAGAUUUGAUUCAUAGGAUGUGGUGUAUGGUUUAUGAGGUUUGGUAUAUGGUUCAUGGAAUUUUAUACAUGGGUUUGGUAUAUGGUUCAUGGGAUUUGGUCCAUGAGGUUUGGUAUAUUGUUCACGGGAUUUAGUCCAUGAGGUUUGAUAUAUGAUUCACGGGAUUUGGUCCAUGAGGUUUAUGGUAUAGUUCAUAUGGUUCAUGAGAUUUGGAUAUAGUUUAGUGCAUGGCUCAUAGGAUUUGGUAUAUGGUCCAUGAGGUUUGGUAUAUGGUUCAUAAGAUUUGGUCCAUGGGCUUGGGUUAUGGUUUAUGGUUCAUGAGGUUUGGUGUAUGGGAUUUGGUUCAUGAACUUGGAUAUGGUUCAUGGAUGAGGUUU